This is a non-coding RNA of Lonchura striata (white-rumped munia), 503 nucleotides long. The record is from RefSeq and is a predicted model, not a curated record. Lineage: Eukaryota; Metazoa; Chordata; Aves; Passeriformes; Estrildidae.
UUCCAGCCUGAAAAAAAAACCAAAAAAACACAGAAAAUGCAUAAUGAAAUUAAAUGCUUCUGAAAGUACAUAAAACCCAGAGCAGCUUAAAUUUUUAGAUAAACUUUAUAUAGCAGCGUAAUAGGAUGAAAUAUGGCAGCAUGGCUUUACCUUUUUAACACAGGUGCCAGCAGAAAACAUGGGAUAAAGUGCAGCUAUUCCACAUAUGACAAACGCAGCAGAAGACCAGUACAAAUGUCAGUCUUUACAGAAUCCAAACUUUCCCCCAUAUCAAACACUGUUUCAACUUAAUCACAUUUCAUACAAAAGCCAGAGCACCAUCAUCCAUGUUGUUUCUCAAGCCAGUUGAAUCACAUCUUUCCGAGUCCUGACCUCCAAAGACGGAGCCUUUCCAGCUGCGACCAGUGAAGAGGAGCAUGGGAUCAAAGGUGAAUCUGGUGGUGCCAUCAGGCAUUAAUCCAGCACCUGUAGCAAGGCUGUUUGAAAGAUGACCAGAAAUAAAG